GACGAACGCUGGCGGCGCGCCUAACACAUGCAAGUCGAACGGAGCUGUUUUCUCUGAAGUUUUCGGAUGGAAGAGAGUUCAGCUUAGUGGCGAACGGGUGAGUAACACGUGAGCAACCUGCCUUUCAGUGGGGGACCAACAUUUGGAAACGAAUGCUAAUACCGCAUAAGACCACAGUGUCGCAUGGCACAGGGGUCAAAGGAUUUAUCCGCUGAAAGAUGGGCUCGCGUCCGAUUAGCUAGAUGGUGAGGUAACGGCCCACCAUGGCGACGAUCGGUAGCCGGACUGAGAGGUUGAACGGCCACAUUGGGACUGAGACACGGCCCAGACUCCUACGGGAGGCAGCAGUGGGGAACUAUUGGCACAAUGGGGGAAACCCUGAUGCAGCGACGCCGCGUGGAGGAGAAGGUCUUCGGAUU
Molecule: ribosomal RNA, 419 nt
Filed under: uncultured bacterium
Lineage: Bacteria
Description: bacterial SSU rRNA
Rfam family: Bacterial small subunit ribosomal RNA
Source: RNAcentral